RNAcentral lists this ribosomal RNA (511 nucleotides) under uncultured bacterium. Its description in RNAcentral is "bacterial SSU rRNA". It matches the Rfam family "Bacterial small subunit ribosomal RNA", at positions 17 to 518 of the family's 1533-position model. The record is from RNAcentral.
UUAUGGCUCAGGAUGAACGCUAGCUACAGGCUUAACACAUGCAAGUCGAGGGGCAGCAUUUGAAAGCUUGCUUCAAAGAUGGCGACCGGCGCACGGGUGAGUAACGCGUAUCCAACCUUCCCCUUAGUAGGGCAUAGCCCGGUGAAAAUCGGAUUAAUACCCUAUGUUCUUCGUAGAGGACAUCUGAAAUGAAGCAAAGGUUCACCGCUAAGGGAUGGGGAUGCGUCUGAUUAGGUAGUAGGCGGGGUAACGGCCCACCUAGCCGACGAUCAGUAGGGGUUCUGAGAGGAAGGUCCCCCACAUUGGAACUGAGACACGGUCCAAACUCCUACGGGAGGCAGCAGUGAGGAAUAUUGGUCAAUGGGCGAGAGCCUGAACCAGCCAAGUAGCGUGCAAGGAUGACGGCCCUAUGGGUUGUAAACUGCUUUUAUAUGGGGAUAAAGUCACCCACGUGUGGGUGUUUGCAGGUACCGCAUGAAUAAGGACCGGCUAAUUCCGUGCCAGCAGCGGC